Molecule: ribosomal RNA, 494 nt
Filed under: uncultured bacterium
Lineage: Bacteria
Description: bacterial SSU rRNA
Rfam family: Bacterial small subunit ribosomal RNA
Source: RNAcentral
GAUCCUGGCUCAGAUUGAACGCUGGCGGCAGGCUUAACACAUGCAAGUCGAGCGUGAAAGGGCUUCGGCCUGAGUAAAGCGGCGGACGGGUGAGUAACGCGUAGGAAUCUACCUGGUAGUGGGGGAUAACGUUCCGAAAGGAACGCUAAUACCGCAUACGUUCUGAGGAAGAAAGCAGGGGACCGCAAGGCCUUGUGCUAUCAGAUGAGCCUGCGUCCGAUUAGCUAGUUGGUGGGGUAAAGGCCUACCAAGGCGACGAUCGGUAACUGGUCUGAGAGGAUGAUCAGUCACACUGGAACUGAGACACGGUCCAGACUCCUACGGGAGGCAGCAGUGGGGAAUAUUGGACAAUGGGGGCAACCCUGAUCCAGCCAUGCCGCGUGUGUGAAGAAGGCCUUCGGGUUGUAAAGCACUUUAAGCUGGGAGGAAGGCUCCAUGGCUAAUAUCCAUGGGGAUUGACGUUACCAGCAGAAUAAGCACCGGCAAACUUCGUG